AUUGAACGCUGGCGGCAUGCCUUACACAUGCAAGUCGAACGGUAACAGGGAGCUUGCUCCGCUGACGAGUGGCGAACGGGUGAGUAAAGUAUCGGAACGUACCUUUCAGUGGGGGAUAACUAUCCGAAAGGAUAGCUAAUACCGCAUAUUCUGUGAGCAGGAAAGCAGGGGAUCGCAAGACCUUGCGCUGAUUGAGCGGCCGAUAUCAGAUUAGCUAGUUGGUGAGGUAAAGGCUCACCAAGGCGACGAUCUGUAGCGGGUCUGAGAGGAUGAUCCGCCACACUGGAACUGAGACACGGUCCAGACUCCUACGGGAGGCAGCAGUGGGGAAUUUUGGACAAUGGGCGCAAGCCUGAUCCAGCCAUGCCGCGUGAGUGAAGAAGGCCUUCGGGUUGUAAGACGUCUUUUGUUCCGGGUAGGCGAGUCCUACUCGGCUAUAUCUGGUGGGGAGUGAGAGUACUGGAGAAUAAGACACCGGCUACGUACG
This 487-nucleotide ribosomal RNA is filed under the name uncultured bacterium. RNAcentral's name for it is "bacterial SSU rRNA". It matches the Rfam family "Bacterial small subunit ribosomal RNA", at positions 30 to 505 of the family's 1533-position model. The record is from RNAcentral.